CCGGAAUUUGUUGAGGAGCAAGUUAGAGCUAUUAAUUCUUAUCAAAGACCACCAAGAAAUGAUCCUUAUUCUACUACAUAUAAUCUGGGUUGGCGUAACCACCCAAAUUUCUCAUGGAGAGAUAGUGGAGGGUCCUCUAAUGCACACCAAGGUGGUUCUCACUCAUAUGGAGGGAGUCAAGGCCCCAAUUCUUCAUCUUUUAGUCCCCACGGCCAUGGAAACACACAAUUUGGUGGACAA
RNAcentral lists this long non-coding RNA (240 nucleotides) under Rosa chinensis. RNAcentral's name for it is "sRNA RchiOBHm_Chr4g0408531". The record is from RNAcentral. Lineage: Eukaryota; Viridiplantae; Streptophyta; Magnoliopsida; Rosales; Rosaceae.